UACGGGGGGAGCAAGCGUUGUUCGGAUUUACUGGGCAUAAAGGGUGCGCAGGCGGCCCCGCAAGUCAGACGUGAAAUCCCCGGGCUUAACUUGGGAAUGGCGUUUGAAACUACGGGGCUGGAGUGUGGCAGAGGGAGGUGGAAUUCCACGUGUAGCGGUGAAAUGCGUAGAUAUGUGGAGGAACACCGAUGGCGAAGGCAGCCUCCUGGGCCAACACUGACGCUCAUGCACGAAAGCGUGGGGAGCAAACAGG
RNAcentral lists this ribosomal RNA (253 nucleotides) under uncultured bacterium. RNAcentral describes it as "partial 16S ribosomal RNA". It matches the Rfam family "Bacterial small subunit ribosomal RNA", at positions 524 to 776 of the family's 1533-position model. The record is from RNAcentral.